This 477-nucleotide ribosomal RNA is filed under the name uncultured Planctomycetota bacterium. Its description in RNAcentral is "bacterial SSU rRNA". It matches the Rfam family "Bacterial small subunit ribosomal RNA", at positions 365 to 832 of the family's 1533-position model. The record is from RNAcentral. Lineage: Bacteria; Pseudomonadati; Planctomycetota.
UUCGCAAUGCCCGAAAGGGUGACGAAGCGACGCCGCGUGUGGGAAGAAGGCCUUCGGGUUGUAAACCACUGUCGGGAGUUAAGAAAUGUAAGGGUGUUAAUAGCGCCUUUACUUGACAAAGGCUCCGGAGGAAGCCACGGCUAACUCUGUGCCAGCAGCCGCGGUAAUACAGAGGCGGCAAGCGUUGUUCGGAAUUAUUGGGCGUAAAGAGCACGUAGGCGGCUGUGUAAGUCGGUCGUGAAAGCCUUCCGCUUAACGGAAGAACAGCGACCGAUACUGCAUAGCUAGAGUGCGGGAGGGGAGAGUGGAACUUCUGGUGGAGCGGUGAAAUGCGUAGAUAUCAGAAGGAACGCCGGCGGCGAAAGCGGCUCUCUGGACCGUAACUGACGCUGAGUGUGCGAAAGCUAGGGGAGCAAACGGGAUUAGAUACCCCGGUAGUCCUAGCCGUAAACGAUGGGCACUAAGUAGAGGGGUUUU